UGGGGAAUAUUGCACAAUGGACGGAAGUUUGAUGCAGCGACGCCGCGUGGAGGGUGUAGGCCUUCGGGUUGUGAACUCCUUUUUCUCGCGAAAAAGGCACAGUUUUGGCUGUGUUGAUGGUAGUGGGGGAAGAAGCGCCGGCUAACUACGUGCCAGCAGCCGCGGUAAUACGUAGGGCGCGAGCGUUGUCCGGAUUUAUUGGGCGUAAAGAGCUCGUAGGUGGUUCGUCGCGUCUGUCGUGAAAGCCAGCAGCUUAACGGUUGGUCUGCGGUGGGUACGGGCGGGCUUGAGUGCGGUAGGGGUGACUGGAAUUCCUGGUGUAGCGGUGGAAUGCGCAGAUAUCAGGAGGAACACCGAUGGCGAAGGCAGGUCACUGGGCCGUUACUGACACUGAGGAGCGAAAGCGUGGGGAGCGAACAGG
This 421-nucleotide ribosomal RNA is filed under the name Fusobacteriota bacterium. RNAcentral's name for it is "Fusobacteria bacterium partial 16S ribosomal RNA". It matches the Rfam family "Bacterial small subunit ribosomal RNA", at positions 355 to 776 of the family's 1533-position model. The record is from RNAcentral. Lineage: Bacteria; Fusobacteriati; Fusobacteriota.